RNAcentral lists this ribosomal RNA (425 nucleotides) under uncultured bacterium. Its description in RNAcentral is "partial 16S ribosomal RNA". It matches the Rfam family "Bacterial small subunit ribosomal RNA", at positions 354 to 796 of the family's 1533-position model. The record is from RNAcentral.
GUGGGGAAUAUUGGGCAAUGGGCGAAAGCCGGACCCAGCAACGCCGCGUGAAGGAAGAAGGUCUUCGGAUCGUAAACUUCUAUCCUUGGUGAAGAUAAUGACGGUAGCCGAGAAGGAAGCCCCGGCUAACUACGUGCCAGCAACCGCGGUAAUACGCAGGGGGCAAGCGUUGUCCGGAAUGAUUGGGCGUAAAGGGCGCGUAGGCGGCCUGGUAAGUCUGGAGUGAAAGUCCGGCUUUUAAGGUGGGACUUGCUUUGGAUACUGUCGGGCUUGAGUGCAGGAGAGGUAAGUGGAAUUCCCGGUGUAGCGGUGAAAUGCGUAGAGAUCGGGAGGAACACCAGUGGCGAAGGCGGCUCACUGGUCCAUUACUGACGCUGAGGUGCGAAAGCGUGGGGAGCAAACAGGAUUAGAUACCCCGGUAGUCC